GUCAUGCAGAUGAGGAGACACAAGAUAUGGGUAAUUUGCAUCUGAGGCAUCUCUAUGAUGUCACACCCUCUUUCACCUUGGAGAUCUGAUGUGCGUC
This 97-nucleotide small nucleolar RNA is filed under the name Zea mays. The record is from RNAcentral. Lineage: Eukaryota; Viridiplantae; Streptophyta; Magnoliopsida; Poales; Poaceae.